UACGUAGGGUGCGAGCGUUAAUCGGAAUUACUGGGCGUAAAGCGUGCGCAGGCAGUUCGUUGUGUCGGUGGUGAAAGCCCCGGGCUUAACCUGGGAAUGGCCAUGGAAACUGGCGAACUGGAGUGUGGCAGAGGGGGUGGAAUUCCGCGUGUAGCAGUGAAAUGCGUAGAGAUGCGGAGGAACACCGAUGGCGAAGGCAGCCCCCCUGGGCUAGCACUGACGCUCAGGCACGAAAGCGUGGGGAGCAAACAGG
Molecule: ribosomal RNA, 253 nt
Filed under: uncultured bacterium
Lineage: Bacteria
Description: partial 16S ribosomal RNA
Rfam family: Bacterial small subunit ribosomal RNA
Source: RNAcentral